AUGAACGCUAGCGACAGGCCUAACACAUGCAAGUCAGGGGCAGCACAAGGAGCAAUCUGAGGUGGCGACCGGCGCACGGGUGAGUAACACGUAUGCAACCUGCCUGUAAGCGGGGAAUAACCCGUUGAAAGACGGACUAAUACCGCAUAAUACUAAAUUACUGCAUGGUAAUUAUUUAAACAUUUAUGGCUUACAGAUGGGCAUGCGCAUGAUUAGCUAGUUGGAGAGGUAACGGCUCCCCAAGGCAACGAUCAUUAGGGGUUCUGAGAGGAAGGUCCCCCACACUGGUACUGAGACACGGACCAGACUCCUACGGGAGGCAGCAGUGAGGAAUAUUGGUCAAUGGACGAGAGUCUGAACCAGCCAAGUCGCGUGCAGGAAGAAUGUCCUUAAUGGAUUGUAAACUGCUUUUGCAGGGGAAUAAAGUGCAUCACGUGUGAUGUUUUGUAUGUACUCUGCGAAUAAGGAUCGGCUAACUCCGUGCCAGCCGCUGC
Molecule: ribosomal RNA, 494 nt
Filed under: uncultured bacterium
Lineage: Bacteria
Description: bacterial SSU rRNA
Rfam family: Bacterial small subunit ribosomal RNA
Source: RNAcentral